UCCUGAUCCACCCUCCUCAGCCUCCCACAGUGCUGGGAUUACAGAAACCAGCCAAGGCAAUGUGAAGGAUUCCAAGAGAGGCAAUAUGGAUGAAACCAUUUAUUAGAUUUAUAAGAGCUGAAGGAAAGUGGUAAAGCUAUCCAUCUUCUAUACUUUAUUGAGAACAGGACCAAUGACUCAGACUAUCAGGACAGUAUCUCCAAGACAGAAUUGAAAUCCUAAAGUAAGCAGAGAAUAAGUGCAUACAUUUUAGGAGAAGAGGGAUCAAAGGCAGAAGGAAGAAAUGCACGGGUGUCAGCUGUGACCCUCGAAGGAAAGGGAUCACCCUCUUUCUGACCCUAUACCACCUUCAGCAGGGAUGAAGGCAGUCAGAGAAAACUUAGUUAAAAAAUUUCUAAACUGCUUUGCUGAUUUGAUCUGGGGCCCUGGAGUGCCAACAUCCUGUGAUAGCGGCUGAUUGUUGAUGCCUGGGAGGAUACAGCAGUGACGAUCCAAAUUUACAAGACUCAACAUGGUUUUCAAAACUUCCUUUUAAAAAAGAUGUUCCUGAGUUCUGGAAUCUGAACAAAAUAUGUCUGGUUAUUAUAUAAUUCUAAUGGUCCUUGUGGAUGCUACCAUUAGAGUUCAGUUAGUGUCUCAUCUAUCACUGUAAUAUUUGUAUUGUAACACUAAUCGUGGCAAAGUAUGAUUUGAUAAAUGCUCAUUCUCAAAUCUUUUA
This 718-nucleotide long non-coding RNA is filed under the name Homo sapiens (human). RNAcentral's name for it is "HSALNT0297884". Lineage: Eukaryota; Metazoa; Chordata; Mammalia; Primates; Hominidae. The record is from RNAcentral.